Molecule: long non-coding RNA, 1767 nt
Organism: Oncorhynchus gorbuscha (pink salmon)
Lineage: Eukaryota; Metazoa; Chordata; Actinopteri; Salmoniformes; Salmonidae
Exons: 2
Source: RefSeq, a predicted model, not a curated record
UGAGACCUUUUAAAGAGAAACAACUGACUGAGACCUUUUAAAGAGGAACAACUGACUGAGACCUUUAAAUAGAAACAACUGACUGAGACCUUUUAAAGAGGAACAACUGACUGAGACCUUUUAAAGAGGAACAACUGACUGAGACCUUUUAAAGAGGAACAACUGACUGAGACCUUUUAAAGAGGAACAACUGACUGAGACCUUUUAAAGAGGAACAACUGACUGAGACCUUUUAAAGAGGCACAACUGACUGAGACCUUUUAAAGAGGCACAACUGACUGAGACCUUUUAAAGAGGAACAACUGACUGAGACCUUUUAAAGAGGAGCAACUGCACAGUGUGUUAGGUACAAUAAGACUUGCCUUUCUCUUCUGCAUGUUUAACCAUCUAUAGCCAUAUGAUGAUGUCUGUGGACUGCUUGUUUCUAAUCACCAACUCCAAUCUAAAUGUCCGACUGACUUUAAACAUGUGUUUUUCACUGUGCUGUAUACUGUGGGGUAAUUCUUUUGCUUCUGGCAGAGUUCUGGACGAACAGAAUGAUAAUGCAAAUCUUGUACAAUCUGAUGCACUAUGGUAUCCUAUGUUUUUGAUAUAACACACUUCUUUUUAAAUGGUAGGAUUGUUUUCAUAGGUAGAUGACACUGGUCGCACACUAUUUUCAUACGUCGAUUUGUAUUGUGUACUGUGUGAGUAUCCACUUAUACAGAAGGAAUGUGUGAGAUUACUGACUGACUGAGUGGAAUGGAGAAAUGCCCACUGGUAGGUUAGAUGUAAUACUACGAUGUACCACAGGGUGGCGCAGCAUUAAUGUAAUACCAUGAUGUACCACAGGGUGGCGCAGCAUUAAUGUAAUACCAUGAUGUACCACAGGGUGGCGCAGCAUUAAUGUAAUACCACGAUGUACCACAGGGUGGCGCAGCAUUAAUGUAAUACCACGAUGUACCACAGGGUGGCGCAGCAUUAAUGUAAUACCACGAUGUACCACAGGGUGGCGCAGCAUUAAUGUAAUACCAUGAUGUACCACAGGGCGGCGCAGCAUUAAUGUAAUACCACGAUGUACCACAGGGUGGCGCAGCAUUAAUGUAAUACCAUGAUGUACCACAAGGCGGCGCAGCAUUAAUGUAAUACCAUGAUGUACCACAGGGUGGCGCAGCAUUAAUGUAAUACCAUGAUGUACCACAAGGCGGCGCAGCAUUAAUGUAAUACCAUGAUGUACCACAGGGUGGCGCAGCAUUAAUGUAAUACCAUGAUGUACCACAGGGUGGCGCAGCAUUAAUGUAAUACCAUGAUGUACCACAGGGUGGUGCAGCAUUAAUGUAAUACCAUGAUGUACCACAGGGUGGCGCAGCAUUAAUGUAAUACCAUGAUGUACCACAGGGUGGCGCAGCAUUAAUGUAAUACCAUGAUGUACCACAGGGUGGCGCAGCAUUAAUGUAAUACCAUGAUGUACCACAGGGUGGCGCAGCAUUAAUGUAAUACCAUGAUGUACCACAGGGUGGCGCAGCUAUCUUAGAAACCACUACUGACUUCUUAUUGGCAUGCAACGCAGUCACUUUAAAACACGUCACACCACUCGGGAGCAUGGAGACAAAUCUAAUAUAAUUUUGCACAAAAUGAUAACCUUGUUUAUUACUGGUAUUGCUUAGAUAAUUUGUAAGGUGUGUAGUUUGGUCUUGUUUUGUGAAGUGUUGCUUUCCAAUCACUUUGGGAUUAGAUGUUUUAUUAACUGAAUUCUUGUAAAAAAAAAUAAAAAAUGUGAUUUUUGAA